This 17-nucleotide small RNA is filed under the name Arabidopsis thaliana (thale cress). RNAcentral's name for it is "ATSL003680". Lineage: Eukaryota; Viridiplantae; Streptophyta; Magnoliopsida; Brassicales; Brassicaceae. The record is from RNAcentral.
UGGUUCUACUUUUGUUU